UGAGACAGAACACUGUUGGAUGCAUUCCUUCGCUAGCAGGGCUUCGGCCCAUCUCAAUGGAAAAGUCUUUGGUCUGUAAUCUCGUACUCUCGACCGGCUCGAACCACUACGUUAUCCAUGUUUAAACUUCCAUUAUCUCAUAUCUAAUCAACAUGAUAUAAUAUUUGAUUAAUUGAAUACACAAUGUGUUUGAAAAGAUGAUGAGAAAGUCCAAUCUUAGAAUCAAACUUUAUAACAUAGUUUGUUCCAUUUUCAAAGUGAAAACAACUAAGUAAUAAAAUAUAUCAACUUCAAAUCACUCUCUCCUUGAAGUUGUGCCUUUUUCUUUAAGCUCCCCUUUAACUUGUAUUCUCCUCUUUUUUUUUUUUGUUUCUUACUUUCCUUUCUCUCUAUGUUAUGUUGUUCCCCUUUCUAAGCAUAACAACAAUAAGGGAGUUGACUAUUUCUCAUUUUCGUUCAUGAAAUCAAAUAUUCGAAGUUUUUUCUAAGGA
RNAcentral lists this long non-coding RNA (491 nucleotides) under Vigna radiata. RNAcentral's name for it is "long non-coding RNA (VRAD_LNC016469)". The record is from RNAcentral. Lineage: Eukaryota; Viridiplantae; Streptophyta; Magnoliopsida; Fabales; Fabaceae.